UUCGUAGGCGGCCGGAUCAGUCAGUGGUGAAAUCCAACGGCUCAACCGUCGAACUGCCUUUGAUACUGUCCGGCUUGAGUACGGGAGAGGAAAGUGGAAUUCUUGGUGUAGCGGUGAAAUGCGUGGAUAUCAAGAGGAACACCCGUGGCGAAAGCGACUUUCUGGCCCGAUACUGACGCUGAGGAACGAAAGCCAGGGGAGCGAACG
RNAcentral lists this ribosomal RNA (207 nucleotides) under uncultured bacterium. Its description in RNAcentral is "partial 16S ribosomal RNA". It matches the Rfam family "Bacterial small subunit ribosomal RNA", at positions 568 to 774 of the family's 1533-position model. The record is from RNAcentral.